GAAAAGUAUUUUAGAAAAAUAAAUUGGCCUUCUAAGCCAAUUUAAGCAAGUUCAAGCCUAGCACUUUUCG
RNAcentral lists this transfer RNA (70 nucleotides) under Euretidae gen. sp. DVL-2014. RNAcentral's name for it is "tRNA-Ser". The record is from RNAcentral. Lineage: Eukaryota; Metazoa; Porifera; Hexactinellida; Sceptrulophora; Euretidae.